This 64-nucleotide transfer RNA is filed under the name Yunnantettix bannaensis. Its description in RNAcentral is "tRNA-Gly". The record is from RNAcentral. Lineage: Eukaryota; Metazoa; Arthropoda; Insecta; Orthoptera; Tetrigidae.
ACUUUCUUAGUAUAUAAGUACAUUUGACUUCCAAUCAAAAAGAUUGUCCUAGACAAAAAAAGUA